AUUGAACGCUGGCGGCAGGCCUAACACAUGCAAGUCGAACGCGUGGCGGACGGGUGUGUAAUGUCUGGGAAACUGCCUGAUGGAGGGGGAUAACUACUGGAAACUGUAGCUAAUACCGUAUACCAUCGUAUGUGCCCAUAUGGGAUUCGCUUGUAGGUGGGGUAAAGGCUCACCUAGGCGACGAUCCCUAGCUGGUCUGAGAGAAUGACCAGCCACACUGGAACUGAGACACGGUCCAGACUCCUACGGGAGGCAGCAGUGGGGAAUAUUGCACAAUGGGCGCAAGCCUGAUGCAGCCAUGCCGCGUGUAUGAAGAAGGCCUUCGGGUUGUAAAGUACUUUCAGCGGGGAGGCGUUACCGGCAGAAGAAGCACCGGCUAACUCCGUGCCAGCAGCCGCGGUAAUUC
This 406-nucleotide ribosomal RNA is filed under the name uncultured bacterium. Its description in RNAcentral is "partial 16S ribosomal RNA". It matches the Rfam family "Bacterial small subunit ribosomal RNA", at positions 30 to 526 of the family's 1533-position model. The record is from RNAcentral.